ACAGCAGUAGCCACGGGAAUACGUAGGUGGCAAGCGUUGUCCGGAAUUAUUGGGCGUAAAGGGCUCGCAGGCGGUUUCUUAAGUCUGAUGUGAAAGCCCCCGGCUCAACCGGGGAGGGUCAUUGGAAACUGGGAAACUUGAGUGCAGAAGAGGAGAGUGGAAUUCCACGUGUAGCGGUGAAAUGCGUAGAGAUGUGGAGGAACACCAGUGGCGAAGGCGACUCUCUGGUCUGUAACUGACGCUGAGGAGCGAAAGCGUGGGGAGCGAACAGGAUUAGAUACCCCGGUAGUCCCUGUCUCUUAUAU
RNAcentral lists this ribosomal RNA (305 nucleotides) under uncultured bacterium. RNAcentral describes it as "partial 16S ribosomal RNA". It matches the Rfam family "Bacterial small subunit ribosomal RNA", at positions 505 to 809 of the family's 1533-position model. The record is from RNAcentral.